RNAcentral lists this long non-coding RNA (234 nucleotides) under Elaeis guineensis (African oil palm). RNAcentral's name for it is "long non-coding RNA (EGUI_LNC077513)". Lineage: Eukaryota; Viridiplantae; Streptophyta; Magnoliopsida; Arecales; Arecaceae. The record is from RNAcentral.
AUCAAAUUAAGCCAAUUAGCAAUCGAAUUACUAAUCGAUCCUCCUGCAACACUUGCACUAGGUUAAAUGUCAAUCGUAUUGAUCGUUUAACCCUAGAAUGAUUCUUAAUCGUUGAUCAACCAUCCGAUCGGAUCCUGAACUCUAAUGUGUGUGACCUCAUAGGUCCAAAUCUAAGUUGGUAGUAUAAGAAUAAAUUUUUGUAUCAAUCAAAGUGAUCAUCUAGCAAUGGUACCC